This 165-nucleotide ribosomal RNA is filed under the name uncultured bacterium. RNAcentral's name for it is "partial 16S ribosomal RNA". It matches the Rfam family "Bacterial small subunit ribosomal RNA", at positions 1336 to 1500 of the family's 1533-position model. The record is from RNAcentral.
UAGUAAUCGCGGAUCAGCAUGCCGCGGUGAAUACGUUCCCUGGCCUUGUACACACCGCCCGUCACACCAUGGGAGCCGGUAAUACCCGAAGUCAGUAGCCUAACCGCAAGGGGGGCGCUGCCGAAGGUAGGAUUGGCGACUGGGGUGAAGUCGUAACAAGGUACC